UUACCGUGAUGCGUUUUCGUUUCAUCGAGUUUCAAAUUACGUCGAUUCUAAAGAAGUUUUACUUAAAACAAACAAGCAGAUGUGACAACGAGGCGCAGUUUCUUCAAAAGAUGACUCGAAAACUAAUGGUUACAUGGAGGAAUGUCAAAAAUUUAUGGAAAAAAAGCGGAGACCCAUUUCCGUGGCAACUCUUAAAGAGUGUUAUUUUCUUUACGUUGGGUCUUAAAUUAUUCAAUGACGUCAAUCGUUACAUGGCCAAUAAUUCACUCACACCCUAUAAAAAUUUCUAAAUGAGUAACAAUUCCUAUAAAGUUGCUUUGCAUAAAUAUUAUUUUAACUCAA
This is a long non-coding RNA of Melitaea cinxia (Glanville fritillary), 342 nucleotides long. RefSeq lists it as uncharacterized. The transcript has 2 exons. The record is from RefSeq and is a predicted model, not a curated record. NCBI's taxonomy places the organism in Eukaryota, Metazoa, Arthropoda, Insecta, Lepidoptera, Nymphalidae.